AUGCAGAGUGACAGGUGUGUGACGAGGAUGGGCUGUGACACCAGUCACGCUCCGGUGUCUGCCCUCAGAGCUAUCCUUUGCCUGCAGGGAGAAGCCUGGUGGAUGCAUUUAAGAUGCUUGUGCACAGUUUCUGAAAUAAGAGCAAAUAUCAUCUCUAAGUAUGACCUAAAAAAGGAAGUAAAAAAAAAAAGCCCCCGGAUAUGCAAUACAGAUGUCAACAUUCUCCCUUUCAGCAUUAGGAACUUGGAGCUUGAAUUGUCCAUUUUUAGCAGACUCUAUCUUCUUCAAAAGACCAUUGUACAGCAGAACUAAACGCCCUGCCUCAGGAAACAGCAUCAGAGACUCCAGAGUUCUCAAGCCACUUCAUGAAAUUCAGAGGUUGGGAAGAGAGACCUGCUGGUUUUCAGCCUGGCCUGAGGAAAAAGCUUCUUUCUGAGAGGACCAGAGGAGCAGCUCUGGAGCCAGGCAGACUGCUGGUGGAGAAGACCUCCUGCCUUCCCAGCUGGUGGCUAUUCUGGUGGACCCAGGGGACAUUUGACACGGAGGGACUGGAGCCACCUCCUUGAGAGGGAGCUUUCACCAAAGAGGUUUUUAGGUCUCACCUGGAGCUUCUUUCUUUUUGGGGACAGAGGCACCCUGCCAGUGAGGCUGAGCCACAGCAGGUCCAGGUGAUCUAAAGAGCACCAGGAGCAUUUCUGAAGACACGUUGUCAUUUGUUCCCAACUUCUUUCAUAGGUCUGAAUGUCACCACGUAUAUUCUCUUCAAUAGAAGAUCUCAUUAUAUCUUUUCUUCCCAUCUCUCCUCCCAUUUGCAAUUGCUCUUCUUGAUACCUUCUUUCCUUUCUAGUUAUGACUUUGGACAUGUCUUCUUCUGCCUUGCUUUCUCCACCUGCCCUCUUCUUGUUUCUCUCUGCCUGCACCAACUCCUGUUCUCUUUUCAUGCUUUUUCCUUGCUUUGGGAUUUCUCACCAGAAGCCACUGAUCAUGAGGAGAGGAUUUUUCCAGGCCUGGAUAAAUCAUAGUGGAAAAUAGCUUCAGUAUUCUAGCUCUGUUCGCACAGCUCUUAAAAUAGAAAGAAUGGACCCUUUGUAGGCUGCAGUUCAGAUAUUUGUCUGAUGCCAUGCUAGAAAGCCAUCUGACUCGUGAGCGCAGUCGGAUUUAGCUGCAGUGGUUAGAGAUGCCACCAUGCUGAACUGUCUGCCCUCCCCCUUGACCGGCGGUUAUUGUCCUUGUACCAGAAUAGAACAAAACAGAUGUCCUCAUCCUAACCUCCCCGUCCUCACCAUCCACAAAAUCAGCUUAGGGCACUGCUGAUGACAGGUUUGCUCUGAAAAUCUGCUCUGCAAAUUGAGGCAAAGACCUGCUUUUUUUUUUCUUUUUCUGCUGCAAGUGCUCUGACUCAGGUCUAGGGAUGCAGAGGGCACCUGGGCGUCUGCCAGUUUGAUUCCCCUGUGUGCAGUUGCCCACGCACUGAACAGGAGCAAAAUGUGGCUCAUCAGGACCUUUUUAUUUCUUCACCUCAGACGUGCACACUGAUGGGAGCAGCUCCCAGUGAAAUACAGGUGUGGGUUUCCCACAGCCACCUGCAGCUUGCUGUGCAGAUGGCGGGAUGGAAAUGUGUUUUAAAUAUGAUUUGGACUUUGGUGAUUGAAUUUCACGUUGCAUCCCCACGUGUACAGCACUGGAGGUGCAAGAAUGAAAUUGCAAGCUGUUGUUGGCAGCAUCUGCAGGCAGUGCCUACAGGAACCAGUUAUGGGGUGGCAUGAGCAGGUUCCCUGGCCCCAGACAGGGGCAGAUGAAGGAUGGGCUUCACAGCAGUGCUUCAAGCAGCUGCUGUGCAGGACAGGAGUCCUCCAUUCCCACCGCUGUGAGCCCAGCCACUUCCACCAGCGCUGAAUUCUCUCUGUACUCAGUCUGACACAGAUAAUUAAAAGAAAGAUAUUAAUUUGGGUCACAGGAAAUAAGUAAUGCCAAGCUAAUACUGGAUUCAAGCUGCAUAAGAAAUAAGACUUUGGUCUGAGUAUGAGCAUGCCAGACAAAAAAUUUUUGACUUGUUAGGGGACAGACAGCUGAAACCUCGAGCUCCUCCAUCCACCUCAUCUGUGAGCCCAGCUCAGUCUGACUGUCCUGCAGACACUCACAGGACUUACGGGGUUUAUUAGAAGCACAGGACGGGAACAAACCCAUGUCACCCCCACCUCUGGGCACCGGGCAGAGGAGCUGUUUCAUUGCCUGGAUCAGUCUGAUCCCUGUGGCUAUGGGGACGUGGUAGCUGGUGCCUUGUGCAGAGAGGAGGGGGUGAGGGUGCCCGCUGUAUUUCAGCUGCCUGCCUAGAGCCAUCUGGUGCUAAUGACUUCCCCAGACUACUGCUGCGGGUUGGGUUUGAAUUUCCUACCCAGAGGUGAAAGGCUCCUUCACUUAUUAGACUAUUAAUUGUCCAAACCACCAGUUUGGUUCUUAAGUGGCAAUUAAUGAGAAGCCAGAGCUGGAGCUUAUAACUGGGAGGAGCCCUACAAGAAAAGAUUAAUAAACAGCAGGGGAAAGGGCUCGGAGGGCGUGAG
This 2561-nucleotide long non-coding RNA is filed under the name Anser brachyrhynchus (Pink-footed goose). RNAcentral describes it as "lncRNA (ENSABRG00000009383.1)". The record is from RNAcentral. Lineage: Eukaryota; Metazoa; Chordata; Aves; Anseriformes; Anatidae.